GCAAGAAAAAUAAUUUCGUAUGAAUUUAUAUAUACCAUGGAAAAACUACAUGUACAAAUGAUACAAGACUGAAUAACUCUUGUAUUUUUCAUUCACUAUAUCAAAAAAGAUUAAAAAAAAAAAAAAUUAUGGCCAAAAAUGGACAGCUCAAGCUGCAGAGAUUUGCAUCUUCAAUCUCAAUGGCCGCAAACUACAACUCAAUUGAAUAAAAAACCGUAACUACCAGUGGAAACAAGACACUUAUGAACAGAAUGUUGUUCCACUGGUCAAAUACAUAUGUUACACCCACACGCUGUGAACUGUAAGUUCAGCAAUUGAUUUGGUACCUGCACUGGAGUAAUCCAUUCCGUCGUGUACAUUCUAUUGAUGUCCUGGUAGUAUUGCGCAUCUCCUGUAAUCCUUCUUCAACUAAUCAAACCGCAGCGGCCUAAACCUAUGACUUUAUAAGGGGGCUCAGCCCUUCUCCUUCCCAACCAAGCUUGAGCAUCUGAUCUACCACUUUCAAGCUCAAAGCUGGAUCAGUGAAGAUUAUCAACUGCUUAUCUGCAGUUGACACCAACAGAUUUGUGUUAUCAUUGUUUAAAGCCAGAGCUGUAAUAUCCUGGCCUUCUUCAAGCUUCAAUACAUGAAAUACCUUCAGCGUAAGCAGAUCCAAGAAACAUACUGAGGGGCUAGGCACAUCCAAUCUGUUCUCCUCCCCAGUUUUCUCGGAUUCCAGUUCAAAAUCCUCAGCUCCUGGUUUCUUUAUACUGAAAUUAUUAUUACAGUUACACGUGUUCAUUCCAAUCAAAGCACUCUUCCCAUCAACAGAAAUUUCUAUGCAACUGACAAUGCUAGAGAAAGGAAGUUGCGCUCUAGCAAUUGGUACCCCAUUAAGAGUAAAGGUACAUAGAGUAUGUUGAGAUUUGUUCCAAGUCAACACAACCCCCUCAGAUGAAAGGCUAACAGCAUGGGCCUCCACACCAGCCAGUCUUCUGAUCAAACGACCCCUCCUCACAGAAUGCAAUAGAACAUCAGAUGAAAGAGAGCAGGAAACAACAAUCCCAAGAUCUGAACUGACACAACAACAUAGUAUUUCUCUGUGGUGACCCCGAAGGACAUGUAUUGGACCCUCAAUACGAUGCCUCCUGCUUUUGUCUGCAAAGACAUUUGCUGCAGUACUACUGGUUGAAGUUGGAGUGCCUGCACCUGAGGAAGGUUCUGACAUACUGCUCGAAUGUGAUGUAAAUGCCCUAUGUAUCUUCCAGAGUAAUACAGUAGUGUCCCGUGAUCCUGUGACAAGAUAGUUGCUAUCUGGGGAAAGAGCAAGGCAAGUGACAGGAGCACAAUGCCCAAUGGCUGUUUCUAAGGUUUUUGCUCCAUCUGAUGACACCAGCUUGAUACUAUUAUCCACAUGCCCACCAGUGAUGAUUUCAUUAUCACAUGUGAUGGAAACAACAGCUGUACUUCUGAUUCCAGAUGCAGCAAAUGCUAUUGCCUGGGGGAAAUGCCACUCAUCAGUACCUGACCCAGCUGGCCCUUUGAAUAUGCGCAUGAAUGUUCCACUGGCAGAACUAGCUGCAGCUUUUCCAUGUUGAAAAAGGAAAGGUGCACCCUGCCCAUCUGGGGUGUUGGGUUGCCACUUAUGCUGUGCAACAUGUGCCGCUGGUGCAUUUAUAUCAGCGAUUAUAACGGUAUCCAAAUGUGCAUGAAUGGCAGCAGCAGGUAGAUUGCAGCGCUCAGGGCCUGGAACAGCAUAUGGUUUGACUUCUUUUGGGUUUCGAAAUAUAGUCUGCAAAUGGAGAACAUCAGCUAAUGGCUUCUUCUUCAAGUGAGGAACAGUCAGAAGUUGGGAUGGGGUCUGUCCAAAGUAUGCAAUCUGGUCUUGUGUAGCUCGUUGUUGUACCUUUUGUGGAUAGAUACAAAGAACAUGAAAACAAGGAACAAUACCAUAAGGGUCCAUUCAAAUAAGUGAGCAUUUCAAAUAAAGGUAGAUUUUUUGAGUUUCAAGUGAAAAAAAUUAUUAUACCAGUACAAAGUCAAAUUCAAAUUCCCCUUCAUUGGAAAUCCUUAUCCAUCCAAAUGAAUCCUAAAUUAAAACACUUGUAGAAUAACAGAGAAAACUUACUGGAUCUGAGAUCUUAUCUAUAUCUACUGUCCCUUCAUAGGUAAUGUAAAAGAAAACAUUAUUUGCCAGUAUAGCUUCUUUACCACGUUGCUUAUACCCAAAUAUGAGAUCAAUCCAUUCAUGCAAAUGCUCAGAUACAUGCUCACUCUCAAGAGCCAUCCGAUGCUUAUGGAUGAAAUCAACUGGGUUUUCAGCCCAAGGAGGAAGUUUGACAGAAUCAAGCUUUCCUCCUAACUGCGUCAUGCCAAAGUCAACUGAAUUUUCAUUGGUUAAGAUCUCAGGGAGAUAAAACAACUCGGGAACCAAUUCCUUCACAUCACUCAUGUCCUCAAUAACUCCAUUCCAAGUAGCAGCAACAUCUGAAAACAUCCGAUCUGCAUGAUCAAAUUUUCCACCUUGCAGUUGAAUUGAAAGGGUUGUAUAUGGUUCUACUCUAACAAGAUAAUAUAAUACUGUCCCAGCGCUUGAAUAAUGAGAACCAUAAUGAAACUUUGGGAUGAUAGGAUCAUCAAAGCUAGAAUAUCUUUCUUGAAAUUUUUUUAGCCGAUCAGGAUUCAAUGCACCAACAGGCUUUGAAAGAUCUCGAUAAGAAGAAGGAUCAGAAAGAUCCAAUUUCUUUGAACAGUAAUCAGAAAGAAUCCAAGGGAAUACUGGAUACUGAGUUAUAUCAUUAUAACUACGUCCAGCCAGAGUAUUAAGCUGCAUGAGAUAUUCAAAAUUGCUGAUCUCCCACCUAGCCCAGCGUUCCAUAAGUUGAGUUCUCUUCAGAAGUUGUUCAGGUCUCUGAGUUGCUAGAUAAAUAUUGUUCAAAUGAGGAGGACGUAAUUGAACAAUUGCUCGGUAAGCAUUUCUUCUCCCCUCAGUACACCCAAAAUCAAAGAAGAAGUUUGACCGGUCAACCAAAAAAAGUUCCAGAGCACUUCUUCUAAGAAGAUAUCUUCGGCUAUAAAUCUGAUGGAGGGAAGAAAUCAACCAGCUGUGAUCUUUUUCUUGGUCUCUUGAUUCAGAAGAUUCCAUUCCAUCCACAGCAUUGCUUUCAGUGGCAUCAACUAUAAAAUUUAUCCUUCUAGAUGUUACUUGAAAUGUUCCUCGCACAACCAUUAGAGGCCGGACCAUAGACGAUGGAAGUUCAAGAACAAUCCUUUCAUCAAGGUCACCAGGAACAUAUCCUGGUGCAACUGCUGAUGUACUUUCUAAGUCUUGGUCACCAGCAUGUUGAGCAUCACUUGAUUCUGCAGAUGGCUGCAGGUUUUCAUCGGUUGUUUCCAAUGGUCUUGGCUGACUCUCUCCACUCUGUUCUGCGUCAUAGGCAUUACCAUCUAAAAUAUCAAUUUCUGCAUGUUCAUCAUCCUCAUUUACUCCUUCCAUUGAGAUUGCUUCCGCUGCCAGAACAGGAACAUUCCCUUGAUCAUGUUUCCUCUCAAUUUGAUCCUCGUAAUUAGCAGCAGCACCAAAAUGAUCAGACCCCCUAUAAUACCUCUUCAAACAUCUUCUCAUCCUUGAAGAACUUUCCAUAAAGUCUAGCUUCCAAAAGACACGUUUGGGACUGCACAAGUGGCCCCCAAGUGGCCCAAAAAGACACUUCAUCUCUAUCAAGCAACGGAUAAGUUUCCGCCAUGCACGAAUACCACUAGAUAAAUGAUGUUGAGCUAUUACAUCAACUUGAGCACGCCUAUCAACCUCUGAUCGCUGCAUGUUUCUAGCUAAAGCAAAACUUGCAACAAGGACUGCAAUAAAUUUAUAAGAUACAGCAUUGAAAUCUUUCCCAUAGACUGAUCUUGUGUCAAAUGGUUGCAUACAUUCCAUCCAGGCGACUCCCAUGGCUUCAGUAGUAUUCCAUCUCUUCACACGCUCCAUGUCACUGGCAUUUCUUCGUUGAGCAGAUGUGGCCAUUGCAACUGCACUAAGGCCUCUUCCAGAACCGAUCUUAGCAUUACGUUCAAGAUCACGUGCUGCAGCCAAUGCCGCAGCUUUUGCUGCGGCCUUAUCCUUCGGAAGUGCUGGUGUUUUGUUAGUCAUCUCUAAAGGUUUUUGGAAACUUGAAAAGGUAUGUAGUCUAGUUGAUUUCCGCUCAAGCAAGGAAGAGUCACGCUUAAGUUGUGCAGUAGUUGUAGGAGCUGAGAUUUCCCCACCUGCAGCACCAGCAGCAAUCAUUGCCAAUGCCAUAGCAGCUGGUGGUGAAGCAAAUGCAGCUGCCCAAGCCGGAGAGAUCAUGGAGAGAGCAGCCUCUAAAGGAAGUGCAUCUGCAGCUAAAGCAGGAUCAUCAACAGUAAGAGGAUUUAAACCAUCAGCAAUAGCAAGCUCAUGAAUCCCAGCAAGAAGUGGCCGCCACCUCCGCAACACAGCAACAAAAGGCGGUAAAAUAGCCUCAAGGUAGCGUUUACGAAUAGGUUUUCUGUCUCUGCUAACAGCAUGCCAUAUCUCAGAAAAAAGAACACAAGAUGCAACCAAAACUCUCUGUCUCUUUGAAUCAGAAAUGGGCAUAUUUAGAACAGGUGAAAGUACACUCCACAACAAGGCUGACCUUGGUUCUCUCAUCGACAUUCUAGCAAUAUUUUCCACAGACAUAGUUCCUUCUGACGCCCCAUCCUUUAUGCUUACAUUCCUCAUGAGCAUAUUGGUUUCACCAUCAUCUUCCUCCCUCAUUGACAGAAGAACCAUACGGAGCAUGCAUAAGAAUGGCUGAUCACUGUCCAAUAACUGGUAUAGUAAUGCCAUUCCUCCCAUUCCAGUUCCUGAUCCUCCACCUAUACCAAGACCACCACCAAGUCCAGACUCAUCUAACAGUAAAGCUUGGAGCAUGGAAACUGACUUCUUCACCAAAGGAAGUUCAAUCCAGUUUCCAUUUGCAUCUUUUUCCAAAGCAGACCUCCAAGAUUCCCAGCCACUUCCGCCACCACCAAAGUCAGCUGUUUUUGAAGGAAGGCCAACACCAUACCACAACCUGCUCCUAUAUUUCCAACCCUCAGAUAAAUCCAUACAAAUGCUCCCAUAUGAUACAAAAGCACAAGAAACAGACUCAUAAGGUUCAGCUGAUGCUGCUGCUGUGAGUCGUUCCAUCACAGCAGCUGAAAUUUGCCCAUUUGCAUCAGCCAUUGAAGCAAGGACACCAAGAGGUAGUCCCCCAGAGUCAUUGGAUCUGCGAUCACCUAGAGAUUCAAAUGAAUCCCGACCAGUUGAUGUCAAUGAACUUGAACGAUUAUUCAGGGGAAAUACAAGGGAUAGGGGAGAUGGGGAACUAUCAACAACACGUGACGCACAAGAGAGCUUGCUCUGUAACCGUAAAUGAUCUUCAACAAGCAUUAAAAUGACAAUAGCAUUUUCAACCAAUGCCACAGAAAGCUGAGCAGCAUUUUCUGCUUCUGCCUUAGCCUCUUUUGGUGAUAAACCCUCAGCCGCAACACCAGCAGCUGCUGCAGCAAUAACUUGAGUCUGAACCUGCAGUUCUCUUGCAGCAAAAUCCAAUAAGCCACUCAAAAGCCUUCUUUUAAAUAUAGGGAGCGAUUCUUCACGUCUAACUCGCUGGUCUCCUGUGCUAGAUCCCCCCACAAUAGAAAGCCAUUCUGCACAAUGAAUAGUUGCUUCAAUAUCCUUCCAACCAUCCUUCUGCCGCAUUGAAUACUCUAACAUUAUAAUCAAGAAGUUGUGCACGAGGUCCUCAAUGUCCCCUAAGCUUGCCAAAUUAGAAUCUACCAUCACACCCUUCUCAUAAUUAGAGAUCAGAACCUCUAGAAUCCACUCAGGCCAUUCCUCCAUUUUUGUAAGACUGCUUCUGUUUUCUGGAUGACUGCAAGCCAAAAACAGAAGAUCCUGCAAUGCCCUGCUUUGCAAAGCCCUAGAUGCAUAAGGUAGUGAAUGCAAAAGAACCAACAAAACUUGUGAAUGUUCAAAGCGAUGACCAGAAUCAUAGAAGUUCAGCCCAUCCUCUGCUGAAGAAGCAUUAAUCGAGGCUGCCAAUAAAGCUGUGUAUAUGUUAGUAGUCAUAAGCCUCCUUGGUGCUGCUUGGAAAGCCUUCUGCAAUGCAAAAAGUAGAAGAGAAACUUUAUCAUCAAACAUUGAACCGCCUCCUUCUUGUAGUCCACCACCCAAAAAGUUGCUUGUCAUAUCUGAGGGUGUACAUGAGUCAAAUUUCACAUGCCCAGAUGUUACUAGAGCACCUAGUAGCCCAAUGAUUGCAACAAUAACACCAUCACUUUUGUCAACAUUGCAAACAUUAUUUCUUGCAUUAUCAGCACUAAUUGAAAGACUGAUACCGCCCAAAUUCUUAAUAUAAGGAUUUUCAGACACAGAUGACACCCUUUCAAUUCUUCUACUAGUGGAAGAAGCAGCAGGGCUGCCACCACCCUCAGAUGGUUCAGAUUCACAAUCCUUCUCAUUUGAAGUAAAAUUCCUUGCUUCAUUAUUCUGAUUCUUUUCUGGAACCUCAUUGCCUCCAUCUGGUUCACUUUCCUCAACAGACAAGCUAUCAUCACUCUUUGUCACCAAUUCUGGAAUACUAUGAUCACCAGCUUUAGCUUCCCGUUGCAGCAGAACUAGAAGUGUUUCUAUCCCACCACAUGUUAUGAAUGCCUCUGCAAAUGUGUGAGCCCUAGCUGUAUUUGGCUGUACUAUGAGCCUGUAUAUCAGAUGCAACACCCUGGCAAUCUGAUUUGGUUGAGGGCAAUCAACAAUAAAACCAAGUAGACAGCGGAGAUCAUCAGCAGCUGAUGAAGGAGGUGCUGCUCCUAUUAGAAGUUCAAUGAUCACUAAGAGUUCAUCAACCAGAGCAUUUAAUUCACCCAUGGGAGGUACUGCCUCAUCCAUUGAAAAAGUAUUCACAGAGUCCUUCUCACGAAUUGUCCAAUAGCAUCUUCUGCAGCCAUCAAGAAGCAUCUGAAUAGCAUUGGCAUCUCGCAUUACCAAUGACUCUGAGAAAACCAUGUCUGCUAGUGAUGAUAGAAGUUUCUUUUGCAGUCCAUAGUUGCAUAAGCUCCAAAUUUUGAGAUCCAAUAACAGUGUACUAAAAAGUUGCACUUUGAGUGCAUGAUUAUGCUUCUGCGAUUGGCAUAAGGAGACAACAGCUGCAACAAGUUCCUCAUCUCCUAUGCCAUUAUGUUUUUCAGUACCCAACAAAGAUAAAGUUUGAAGAAGAUAGUUCAAGAUUUUUGAAAGAAUCUCAGGUCCUCCAGUUUGACACAACUCUUUAUUGUUUCUUGGAUUUUGAAUGGCUAUGGAAAUAAUUCGAAAUACUGGGGCAGCCAGAGUAGCUGUGGCUAAAGACAAAGGAAGGGUUCCCUGUUCUGGUUCCAAACUAUCUUUAUGCACAUUGCUUAUUGCCAAAGGAAGUAAACACAUAGGACCUCCGUAGGCCAAGGCCCACAAAGCAUCCACUGGUCGCAUUCGAAUUGCAACAUGGACCUGUCCAAGUACCUCAGCUGGUCGUCGCAGCACGCCUGCAGAACCUGAAGGGGAAGCAUCUGGACAGAAACGCCCACUAAGCAAACUGGGGUGAUAGAGAAGGUGAAUGCACCCUCCAAUCUCAGCAUCCAGAAGUGAACUUUCCUUUGCCAUAGUUCGAACAUGGUCAUUAGUUGCAAGCCAAGGAAGUCCUGCUCCACUACCAAAAGUAGGUAGCACAUCCCCUCCUCUAGAUGCUAAACGUGCCAUCCUUUCUGGACCAAUUGGCUCCUUAAAGAUAUAAACAGGCCCCAUCUCAGCAAACAGAGGGCACUGACGACGUCUACGCUGUAAACCAGCAAUUGUGGGAGGGGGGUUUGUCCCAAUGCAACAAAAUGCAAGUGGCUUAGAGAUCCGAGGGAACUCAAAAGGGCGAGUUUCAUAUAAUGAUCCAUCAAUAUACAAUCUCAAUUCACUCUCUGCUUUACCUAGUAGCCCCGGCUUGCAGAUAUGCUCCAAACCAAUAAAAUACCAACAUUGUGGCUUGAAUGCAUGAGUAAAAUGCAAGGAAGCCUUCUUUCCCUUUCCACUACCACUUUCAACAACCAAAAACUGUGCGUGAAAGUAUGCCUCUACCCCAUGGUUAUCAGCUGAUAAGAAACUAAAAAGUCGUGGCAUGUGGGCUGUGCCUUCACCAGCAAGCGCACUGGCAGCAGCCGCAGCAGACAUGGCAGAUGAUUUUCCUGACUUGGCUGCUGCUGCUGCAGCAAUUGCAGCAGCUGCAGUAGCCGUGUUCAAUGUGUCUGCAAAUGAUUCAAUAUAGAUCCAUGUUGCAAAUGCAUAUCCAUUGGUAAAUGGCCAACGGCUCUCCCCUGGACCAAGCAAACCAGAGCUUUCACCAUCAAACUCAAAAGUAAAUGCUGGUCCCUUUGACUCCUUUCCACUCAUUGCCUUCUCCAGGGCAUGCAUUAAGCGAGAUGCCCAUGCAGUGGCAAGUGUUCUUGUAAUGACUUGAAGCCAUCUAUGCAAAUCAAUAACGUUCAGUGAAUGCCCUGCCAAGUGUUGAAUGCAGUGGCAUAAAGGACUUCCAUCCCAUCUCAACUGCAUUGUUGAAUCAACAUCCUCAACAAAGAUCUUCUCUGCUGAACACAAAAGAACACCUAACAGACCAGCCAUAGAGCACAUCUCUCUAUUUCUUGUGCAAGCCCGCAAUAUGGCACGUAAACCCCUUACCAUCCUCGUCCUAGGGGACAUGUAAAUCUCACUAUCGCCCACCCAAGGAAGCCAGGGAAUGAGCUCACCCGCCACAAUCGCUGCCCGAGAGUUCAGCAUCACACUAGGAGGAUUGUUGUCCCCAUCCUCAAAACUCUCAACUCCACCCAUGGUGGCCAGAAGCGAAUCAACAACCAAAUAAGCAAUGGUCUCUGCUUCCUCCCCAUUUUCAAAACUCUCAACUCCACUGACAGUGUUCUUCAGCUUGUCCAAGCUUUCAGGCUUUCCCAUGAUAGCAGAAUCCACUAAAUGCAAUAACUCUGGAGACACAUUUGGCAUAACAGCUUUUGGCUUAGGCCUUGGCGGUGAACCAAAGGCAGAAAAACCAACAUCUCCGAAGUAAGCAGAAUCAAGACUGGUUGAUGAAUACGAUGGUUUAAUUGUAGAACCAAACUGUCUCUCAGGCCCAGGGCUUGAUAUAGAGCGAUCAUGUCGAACUUCAGUCAGUGGAGGAGAACCAAGCUCAGCCCUAAAAGUCCCAGAUAAAUAUUUAGAGGCUUCAUAAAAUUCAUCAGAUAGUUGUGUCUCAUGCUCUGAAUUGGAUGAUCGGUUUGAAUCUGCAUGACCAAUCUGUACCCCAGCAGCUGCCUUUUCCUGAUCCUUCAAAGAUACCUGUUCAAACUGGUCUUCAUCCAUAACUGUAGCUCCAGAAUUAAGCCCUUGGGAAACUACAUUGUUAUUUCCUAUCUCCAUGUCACUACUACCAGUGAGAUUUACAUUUUCAUGAUGAGAAGUUCCGAUACUACCUUCUACAACACUAACUACCUCAGGAAUUCCUGGAUCCUUCCCAGAAAUUUCUCCAGUUUCUUUCUUUUCUUCCUCCUCUUCUGUUUCUCGUCCAAGGAAACGGUUGCCACCUUUACGGCUCAGAAGUGGUUCGUUGACUGAUAUCUGAAGCAAGCAGUAGUAACCCAUUUUCAUUAUUUUAUGUUUCUAUUAAUCUACGUAAUGCUUUUAUGUAACUAUUGUAUGAAUAGGAACCAGAGUCGCUGCCAAUGUCCAGAUCAUUCUAUAGCUUGGUUUUCUCUUUUCUCUACCGAUCUGAUUUCUUCUCAGUUGAAUAUUAACUUUUUCCUUUCUUUUCUUUUGGACCUUUUGGAAGCUUUAGCUUGUUUCACUUUGAGCAAAAUGUACAGAUCUUGAGUCUGAACUAAUAAUUUAGUUCAUUACAGAUAUAACUACUACUGACUAACUUCAGAAACAAGUAAAAAGAUUUCAAAGAUUCUUCU
RNAcentral lists this unclassified non-coding RNA (9984 nucleotides) under Hevea brasiliensis (rubber tree). Lineage: Eukaryota; Viridiplantae; Streptophyta; Magnoliopsida; Malpighiales; Euphorbiaceae. The record is from RNAcentral.